AUUGAACGCUGGCGGCAUGCUUUACACAUGCAAGUCGAACGGUAACGGGCCUUCGGGUGCCGACGAGUGGCGAACGGGUGAGUAAUGCCUAGGAAUCUGCCUGGUAGUGGGGGACAACGUUUCGAAAGGAACGCUAAUACCGCAUACGUCCUACGGGAGAAAGCAGGGGACCUUCGGGCCUUGCGCUGUCGGAUGAGCCUGCGUAGGAUUAGCUAGUUGGUGAGGUAAAGGCUCACCAAGGCGACGAUCCUUAGCUGGUCUGAGAGGAUGAUCAGCCACACUGAGACUGAGACACGUCCCAGACUCCUACGGGAGGCAGCAGUGGGGAAUAUUGCGCAAUGGGGGCAACCCUGACGCAGCCAUGCCGCGUGUGUGAAGAAGGCCUUCGGGUUGUAAAGCACUUUCAAUGGGGAAGAAAAGCGUACUGUUAAUAGCGGUGCGCCGUGACGUUACCCAUAGAAGAAGCACCGGCUAACUCCGUGCCAGCCGCCGCCGUAA
Molecule: ribosomal RNA, 498 nt
Filed under: uncultured bacterium
Lineage: Bacteria
Description: partial 16S ribosomal RNA
Rfam family: Bacterial small subunit ribosomal RNA
Source: RNAcentral